GAUGAACGCUGGCGGCGUGCCUAAUACAUGCAAGUCGAGCGAACAGACGAGGAGCUUGCUCCUCUGGCGUUAGCGGCGGACGGGUGAGUAACACGUGGAUAACCUACCUAUAAGACUGGGAUAACUUCGGGAAACCGGAGCUAAUACCGGAUAAUAUAUUGAACCGCAUGGUUCAAUAGUGAAAGACGGUUUUGCUGUCACUUAUAGAUGGAUCCGCGCCGCAUUAGCUAGUUGGUAAGGUAACGGCUUACCAAGGCAACGAUGCGUAGCCGACCUGAGAGAGGAGAGGGCAAACUUGGAACGGAGACAGGAUCGAGACUCCUCGGGAGGGAAGAAGUGGGGAAUCGUCGAAAUGGGGCGAAGGCCGGAGGGAAAAAACCGGGGGGAGGAAGAAAGGUUUUGGGAUAUAAAAACUUUUUUUAAAGGGAAAAAAAAAUGUGAAAGUAAAAAGGCACGUCUAGAGGGUACAUAAUCAAAAAGACAGGGAAAACUAGGGG
RNAcentral lists this ribosomal RNA (497 nucleotides) under uncultured bacterium. RNAcentral's name for it is "partial 16S ribosomal RNA". It matches the Rfam family "Bacterial small subunit ribosomal RNA", at positions 28 to 507 of the family's 1533-position model. The record is from RNAcentral.